RNAcentral lists this ribosomal RNA (482 nucleotides) under uncultured bacterium. RNAcentral's name for it is "bacterial SSU rRNA". It matches the Rfam family "Bacterial small subunit ribosomal RNA", at positions 501 to 985 of the family's 1533-position model. The record is from RNAcentral.
CUACGUGCCAGCAGCCGCGGUAAUACGGAGGAUACGAGCGUUAUCCGGAAUUAUUGGGUUUAAAGGGUGCGUAGGUGGCGUAUUAAGUCAGUGGUGAAAAGCUGCAGCUCAACUGUAGUCUUGCCGUUGAAACUGAUAUGCUAGAGAGGAGACGAGGUAUGCGGAAUGUGUGGUGUAGCGGUGAAAUGCAUAGAUAUCACACAGAACGCCGAUUGCGAAGGCAGCGUACCAGGCUCCGUCUGACACUGAAGCACGAAAGCGUGGGGAUCAAACAGGAUUAGAUACCCUGGUAGUCCACGCAGUAAACGAUGAAUACUAGAUUUUUGCGAUAUAGUGUAAGAGUCUAAGCGAAAGCGAUAAGUAUUCCMCCUGGGGAGUACGCCGGCAACGGUGAAACUCAAAGGAAUUGACGGGGGCCCGCACAAGCGGAGGAACAUGUGGUUUAAUUCGAUGAUACGCGAGGAACCUUACCCGGGAUUGAA